AACCUCCGCAAUGUGAGAAAUCGCGACGGGGGGAUCCCAAGUGCCAUUCUUAACGGGAUGGCUUUUCAUUAGUGUAAAGAGCUUUUGGAAUAAGGGCUGGGCAAGACCGGUGCCAGCCGCCGCGGUAACACCGGCAGCUCUAGUGGUAGCAGUUUUUAUUGGGCCUAAAGCGUCCGUAGCCGGUUUAAUAAGUCUCUGGUGAAAUCCUGUAGCUUAACUGUGGGAAUUGCUGGAGAUACUAUUAGACUUGAGACCGGGAGAGGUUAGAGGUACUCCCAGGGUAGAGGUGAAAUUCUGUAAUCCUGGGAGGACCGCCUGUUGCGAAGGCGUCUAACUGGAACGGUUCUGACGGUGAGGGACGAAAGUUAGGGGCGCGAACCGGAUUAGAUACCCGGGUAGUCCUAACUGUAAACGAUGCGGACUUGGUGUCGGGGUGGCUUUGAGCUGCUCCAGUGCCGAAGGGAAGCUGUUAAGUCCGCCGCCUGGGAAGUACGGUCGCAAGACUGAAACUUAAAGGAAGU
This 521-nucleotide ribosomal RNA is filed under the name uncultured bacterium. Its description in RNAcentral is "bacterial SSU rRNA". It matches the Rfam family "Archaeal small subunit ribosomal RNA", at positions 345 to 866 of the family's 1478-position model. The record is from RNAcentral.